UCGUAUUAAUUUGUUUUUUUUAGUAAUUUCGCUAUUUUAGCUUGAUUAUGCUUUUUGAAAUUUUGUGAUUUGAUUUUUGCGAUUUGAUUUAUGCGGUUUUCGGAUUUGAUUUCAUGAAUUUCGCAUGAAUUUCAAUGUAAAUUGUUUAUAAACUUGAAUAAAACCAAGUCAAAUUGAGCGAUUUGAGUAUAAAUUUGGCAAAUACAAAACCUAGAUUGAUCAAGAACAAAUCGAAGAAAAAUAUCCUUUAAAUUCACGCUCAAUUCUCCGACCUCAAUUGCCGGAAAUAAUUGCUGAUGAAGUCUUCAUCACAAUGCUUGAAGGGACAUGAAGCCGAAAAAUAUUCUUAUUGGUUCAGGCUCCAUUGUUAAGCUUUGUGAUUUUGGUUUUGCUCGUGCCAUGUCAAUUAACCAUGUUUUUACUUCACUCCAUCAAAGGUACUCCAUUGUACAUGGCUCCUGAGCUUGUUCGCGAACAGCCAUAGAAUCACACAGUUGACUUGUUGUCAAAAUUGAUAUAAUUACCUUAUUUUUGUAUAUAGUGAUGGAGUGACCUCUGGGUUAUAUAUAUAUAUAUA
Molecule: RNA transcript, 577 nt
Organism: Chenopodium quinoa (quinoa)
Lineage: Eukaryota; Viridiplantae; Streptophyta; Magnoliopsida; Caryophyllales; Amaranthaceae
Gene name: probable serine/threonine-protein kinase tsuA
Exons: 4
Source: RefSeq, a predicted model, not a curated record